CCUACGGGAGGCAGCAGUGGGGAAUUUUGGACAAUGGGCGAAAGCCUGAUCCAGCAAUGCCGCGUGAGUGAAGAAGGCCUUCGGGUUGUAAAGCUCUUUUGUCAGGGAAGAAACGGUGUGGGCUAAUAUCCCGCACUAAUGACGGUACCUGAAGAAUAAGCACCGGCUAACUACGUGCCAGCAGCCGCGGUAAUACGUAGGGUGCAAGCGUUAAUCGGAAUUACUGGGCGUAAAGCGUGCGCAGGCGGUUUUGUAAGUCUGUCGUGAAAGCCCCGGGCUCAACCUGGGAAUUGCGAUGGAGACUGCAAGGCUUGAAUCUGGCAGAGGGGGGUAGAAUUCCACGUGUAGCAGUGAAAUGCGUAGAGAUGUGGAGGAACACCGAUGGCGAAGGCAGCCCCCUGGGUCAAGAUUGACGCUCAUGCACGAAAGCGUGGGGAGCAAACAGGAUUAGAUACCCUGGUAGUCCACGCCCUAAACGNUGUCUACUAGUUGUCGGGUUUUAAUACUUGGUAACGCAGCUAACGCGUGAAGUAGACCGCGUGGGGAGUACGGUCGCAAGAUUAAAACCGUCGAAAAGUAGUAGUCGGACGCGUGAGAGCGACGACGACGACGACGGAGGGAGGAGG
Molecule: ribosomal RNA, 626 nt
Filed under: uncultured bacterium
Lineage: Bacteria
Description: bacterial SSU rRNA
Rfam family: Bacterial small subunit ribosomal RNA
Source: RNAcentral